AUUUGGUUGUGGCCAAGGAAAGGAAAAUUUUCUUCAAGUUCUUUAGAACCACAUAAUGGAAUGGCAUUACCAUCUUAUUUAUUCCGCGAUUUCCAGCACCAUCAAUUUCUAGUUUCGGCUUUUCGAUAUGUUUCGAUCUCUUUGCUAAUUGUGUUUGUUCAAGUUAAAUGA
Non-coding RNA from Vicia faba (fava bean), 171 nucleotides. Lineage: Eukaryota; Viridiplantae; Streptophyta; Magnoliopsida; Fabales; Fabaceae. The record is from the annotation of a GenBank genome assembly.